GGAAAUGCAAGUUAUUGUGGUUUUCUGAAUUUAGUACCUGAAUCUGACUCAUUGGGUUUGAUUGCUGCAGUAACAAAUAGAAACUCAGUGCUGGUUCCUUGAGUUCAAUUGUGGAUGAUGCUAAUUUUGUAAGAAGAGAUGCUAAUAUGGUUGCACACCAUUUCGCUAAGAUGGCUCUCCAGAGUGAUUCUGAGAUGAUUUGGG
This 204-nucleotide unclassified non-coding RNA is filed under the name Hevea brasiliensis (rubber tree). Lineage: Eukaryota; Viridiplantae; Streptophyta; Magnoliopsida; Malpighiales; Euphorbiaceae. The record is from RNAcentral.